UUGUUAAAAAGAACUUGCUGGCCAGUGCACAAUGGCUGUGCACACAAGCCUCCUUGGUGGUGCAAGCAGCCUUUUGUAGUUGGUUUUGUGGGUUGGCCUAAGAGACUUUGGAGACAGUU
This 119-nucleotide small nucleolar RNA is filed under the name Jaculus jaculus (lesser Egyptian jerboa). RNAcentral's name for it is "Small nucleolar RNA SNORA70 (ENSJJAG00000007776.1)". It matches the Rfam family "Small nucleolar RNA SNORA70". Rfam says of the family: snoRNA U70 seems to be exclusive to mammals and is a member of the H/ACA class of snoRNA which contain H (ANANNA) and ACA box motifs. H/ACA box snoRNAs are involved in the conversion of uridines to pseudouridines (5-ribosyluracil) a constituent of structural RNAs (transfer, ribosomal, small nuclear, and small nucleolar). The record is from Rfam by way of RNAcentral. Lineage: Eukaryota; Metazoa; Chordata; Mammalia; Rodentia; Dipodidae.